RNAcentral lists this ribosomal RNA (506 nucleotides) under uncultured bacterium. RNAcentral describes it as "partial 16S ribosomal RNA". It matches the Rfam family "Bacterial small subunit ribosomal RNA", at positions 30 to 523 of the family's 1533-position model. The record is from RNAcentral.
AUUGAACGCUGGCGGCAGGCCUAACACAUGCAAGUCGAACGGUAACAGGAAACAGCUGGCUGUUUCGCUGACGAGUGGCGGACGGGUGAGUAAGGUCUGGGAAACUGCCUGAUGGAGAGGGAGAACUACUGGAAACGGUAGCUAAUACCGCAUAACGUCGCAAGAACAAAGAGGGGGAGCUUCUGGCCUCUUGCCAUCGGAUGGGCCCAGAUUGGAGUAGCUAGUAGGUGGGGUAACGGCUCACCUAGGCGACGAUCCCUAGCUGGUCUGAGAGGAUGACCAGCCACACUGGAACUGAGACACGGUCCAGACUCCUACGGGAGGCAGCAGUGGGGAAUAUUGCACAAUGGGCGCAAGCCUGAUGCAGCCAUGCCGCGUGUAUGAAGAAGGCCUUCGGGUUGUAAAGUACUUUCAGCGGGGAGGAAGGGAGUAAAGUCAAUACCUUUGCUCAUUGACGUUACCCACAGAAGAAGCACCGGCUAACUCCGUGCCAGCCGCCGCCGUAA